Molecule: transfer-messenger RNA, 430 nt
Filed under: Cardinium endosymbiont of Sogatella furcifera
Lineage: Bacteria; Pseudomonadati; Bacteroidota; Cytophagia; Cytophagales; Amoebophilaceae
Rfam family: transfer-messenger RNA
About the family: Bacterial tmRNA, also known as 10Sa RNA or SsrA, is named for its dual tRNA and mRNA-like properties.
Source: RNAcentral
GGGGUUGACUGGAAUUGACGGGAAGGUUAAAUCCAAUGUAAGCAUGCGAGGUGUUGUAAGUAUUACCUCUAAUAUAAAACUUGCAUAAUAUAUAAAUGGCAACUUAGCUGUUAUCACUCCUCGCCGUUGUAGGUUUGUUGCGCUUCGAAGAAAAGAAGAAGACGACGACGAACUCCGCAUGGCUGCUUAAUCGAUAGAUUAAGGGGGAUUUGUCCCGCUGGUUUUUGUUCUAUGGGAUCAGCAUAGGGGCAUCGGUGCAUGGAACUAGUGCCGCCAGGUGCGUGAUGGAGGCAUAAACCAUAACUGCGCAUAAGUGCAACAUCAGGUGUGUUACUGACCUUGGUUGCGCCGACAAUAAACAGGGACUAAGCAUGUAGAAAGCGUUGCGGUUUUCUUGUUCGGACGAGGGUUCGAUUCCCUCCAGCUCCAC